GAUGAACGCUGGCGGCGUGCUUAACACAUGCAAGUCGAACGAUGAAGCCCAGCUUGCUGGGUGGAUUAGUGGCGAACGGGUGAGUAACACGUGAGUAACCUGCCCUUGACUCUGGGAUAAGCCCGGGAAACUGGGUCUAAUACCGGAUAGGAGCGCCUGUCGCAUGACGGGUGUUGGAAAGAUUUUUCGGUCAUGGAUGGACUCGCGGCCUAUCAGCUUGUUGGUGAGGUAAUGGCUCACCAAGGCGACGACGGGUAGCCGGCCUGAGAGGGUGACCGGCCACACUGGGACUGAGACACGGCCCAGACUCCUACGGGAGGCAGCAGUGGGGAAUAUUGCACAAUGGGCGGAAGCCUGAUGCAGCGACGCCGCGUGAGGGAAUGACGGCCUUCCGGGUUGUAAACCUUCUUUCCAUAAGGG
This 420-nucleotide ribosomal RNA is filed under the name Micrococcus sp. oral taxon F54. Its description in RNAcentral is "bacterial SSU rRNA". It matches the Rfam family "Bacterial small subunit ribosomal RNA", at positions 28 to 445 of the family's 1533-position model. Lineage: Bacteria; Bacillati; Actinomycetota; Actinomycetes; Micrococcales; Micrococcaceae. The record is from RNAcentral.